This 332-nucleotide ribosomal RNA is filed under the name uncultured bacterium. RNAcentral describes it as "bacterial SSU rRNA". It matches the Rfam family "Bacterial small subunit ribosomal RNA", at positions 568 to 898 of the family's 1533-position model. The record is from RNAcentral.
CGCGUAGGCGGCCGCGUGCGUCAGAGGUGAAAUCCCCCGGCUUAACCGGGGACCUGCCUCUGAUACGGCGCGGCUUGAGUCCGGGAGAGGGGAGCAGAAUUCCCAGUGUAGCGGUGAAAUGCGUAGAUAUUGGGAGGAAUACCGGUGGCGAAGGCGGCUCCCUGGACCGGUACUGACGCUGAGGCGCGAAAGCGUGGGUAGCAAACAGGAUUAGAUACCCUGGUAGUCCACGCCGUAAACGAUGGGUGCUUGGUGUCGGGGGUAUCGACCCCUCCGGUGCCGAAGCUAACGCAUUAAGCACCCCGCCUGGGGAGUACGGUCGCAAGGCUGAA